Molecule: small nuclear RNA, 416 nt
Filed under: Ophiophagus hannah (king cobra)
Lineage: Eukaryota; Metazoa; Chordata; Lepidosauria; Squamata; Elapidae
Description: 7SK RNA
Rfam family: 7SK RNA
About the family: 7SK was discovered as an abundant small nuclear RNA in the mid-70s but a possible function has only recently been suggested. Two independent studies have found that 7SK RNA binds the CDK9/cyclin T complex (known as elongation factor P-TEFb). P-TEFb activates transcription by phosphorylating the C-terminal domain of RNA polymerase II.
Source: Rfam by way of RNAcentral
ACAUGUGAUGGUGAUCUGGAGCAACAUCUGUCAUCCCAUUGAUUGCCAGGGUUGAUGUGGCUGAUCUGGCUGGUUAGGCGGGUGUACCCUUCCUCCUUCACUGUUCCAUGUGCAUCCCUCCCGAAGCUGCGUACUCGGUGGAAGAGGACAACCACCCCAGAUAGAAGGAGUGUACCAAUCUUUGGUCAAGGCUAUAUGAUAGCUACGCUCCCCCUCCCUCACAGCUCCAUUUGUGUCCCUCCCAAAGCUGCCCACUAGGUGGAAGAGAAUGACCAUCCCAGAUAGGAGUCUUCUGUCAAGGGUAUACGAUAGCUGCGCUCCCUUGCUAGAACCUCAAAACAAACUCAAGGUCCAUUUGUAGAAGAUUAGAUACCUGACUUAUUUAGUUGAAUUGAUUCAGGGUUCCACAUCAGAUU